CUACGGAGGGUGCGAGCGUUAAUCGGAAUUACUGGGCGUAAGGCGUGCGUAGGCGGAUUAUUAAGCAAGAUGUGAAAGCCCAGGGCUCAACCUUGGAACUGCAUUUUGAACUGGUAGUCUAGAGUACUGUAGAGGGUGGUGGAAUUUCCAGUGUAGCGGUGAAAUGCGUAGAGAUUUGAAGGAACAUCAGUGGCGAAGGCGGCCACCUGGACAGAUACUGACGCUGAGGCACGAAAGCGUGGGGAGCGAACAGGAUUAGAUACCCUAGUAGUCC
Molecule: ribosomal RNA, 274 nt
Filed under: uncultured bacterium
Lineage: Bacteria
Description: partial 16S ribosomal RNA
Rfam family: Bacterial small subunit ribosomal RNA
Source: RNAcentral